Molecule: ribosomal RNA, 429 nt
Filed under: uncultured bacterium
Lineage: Bacteria
Description: partial 16S ribosomal RNA
Rfam family: Bacterial small subunit ribosomal RNA
Source: RNAcentral
UGGGGAAUAUUGCACAAUGGGCGAAAGCCUGAUGCAGCAACGCCGCGUGAGUGAUGAAGGUCUUCGGAUUGUAAAGCUCUGUCUUUUGGGACGAUAAUGACGGUACCAAAGGAGGAAGCCACGGCUAACUACGUGCCAGCAGCCGCGGUAAUACGUAGGUGGCGAGCGUUGUCCGGAUUUACUGGGCGUAAAGGGUGCGUAGGCGGAUGUUUAAGUGAGAUGUGAAAUACCCGGGCUUAACUUGGGUGCUGCAUUUCAAACUGGAUAUCUAGAGUGCAGGAGAGGAGAAUGGAAUUCCUAGUGUAGCGGUGAAAUGCGUAGAGAUUAGGAAGAACACCAGUGGCGAAGGCGAUUCUCUGGACUGUAACUGACGCUGAGGCACGAAAGCGUGGGUAGCAAACAGGAUUAGAUACCCUGGUAGUCCACGCC